GAGUAACGCGUAAGCAAUCCUGCCCCCACAAUCGGGAACAACCGUGCCAACGCGCGGCUAAUGCCGGAUAUUGUAGUCUACUGCAUAGUAGGCCAACGAAAGAUUUAUUGUUGUGGGAUGAGCUUGCGUCCGAUUAGCUAGUUGGCGGGGUAAUAGCCCACCAAGGCGACGAUCCGGUAGCCGGCCUGAGAGGGUGAUCGGCCACAUUGGGACUGAGAUACGGCCCAGACUCCUACGGGAGGCAGCAGUAGGGAAUAUUGCGCAAUGGGGGGAACCCUGACGCAGCAAACCGCCACGUGUGGGAAGAAGCACUUCGGUGUGUAAACCACUGUCGGAAAGGAAUAACGGAAGACUUCGGUCUUUAUGAAUGUACUUUUAGAGGAAGCACCGGCAAACUUCGUGCCAGCCGCCGC
This 413-nucleotide ribosomal RNA is filed under the name uncultured bacterium. RNAcentral's name for it is "bacterial SSU rRNA". It matches the Rfam family "Bacterial small subunit ribosomal RNA", at positions 108 to 518 of the family's 1533-position model. The record is from RNAcentral.